Molecule: long non-coding RNA, 494 nt
Organism: Hypanus sabinus (Atlantic stingray)
Lineage: Eukaryota; Metazoa; Chordata; Chondrichthyes; Myliobatiformes; Dasyatidae
Exons: 3
Source: RefSeq, a predicted model, not a curated record
ACGAGCAUUGUGUACUUGGGAUCCCCACAGGUAACUCCAGGUGGAUUUCCAUCGGCACCCUGGACAUCACGUUGCCGGCAACGUGGUUGACGUUCCAGGGGCAAUGAAGCCUUUGUCAUAGUCUUAUAAACGUAAGGGCUGUUCACAGUUAAGGGCUGAGUCUGAAUCCAGACGAACAGAAAGAGCGGAAGGAGCGUGAUGUCACUGUAAAAAUUUAUUGUUUCUUGCCUUACAUUGAACGUCCUGCCCGAGUUCGCACAUCAACCAGUCGCAAAGUGAAAUUGCAAGGUAGAAAUAUAUUUGAAUUUGGGCAGACUAACUCCGCAGGUUACUCCGCACGGCGCCAAACAUGGGAAGCAAUUUUUCAAAGGAGGACUGCUUUCACUUCCCAACCAUGGACAAACGGAAUCUGGACACUCUGAGGGACUAUGUGCGUAACUACAACCCUCCUGAGGGCUGUGGAGGCUGUAUAAACAUCCUACUCUUCGGCAUGG